UACAGAGGUGGCAAGCGUUGUUCGGAAUUACUGGGCGUAAAGGGCGCGUAGGCGGUCUUCUAAGUCUUGUGUGAAAUCCCUCGGCUCAACUGAGGAACUGCACGGGAUACUGGAUGACUUGAGUUCGGGAGAGGGAAGCGGAAUUCCGGGUGUAGCGGUGAAAUGCGUAGAUAUCCGGAGGAACACCGGUGGCGAAGGCGGCUUCCUGGACCGAUUACUGACGCUGAGGCGCGAAAGCGUGGGGGGCAAACAGG
Molecule: ribosomal RNA, 254 nt
Filed under: uncultured bacterium
Lineage: Bacteria
Description: partial 16S ribosomal RNA
Rfam family: Bacterial small subunit ribosomal RNA
Source: RNAcentral